AAAGAAACUCGGGCAGUCGCUCCGGUUGCGUAUGUGCGGGACCGGAGAGGAAAGUCCGGGCACCAGAGAACAGGAUACCCUGUGUCAAACAGGGGUUCCGCCCGACGGAAACGGAUAGUGCCGCAGAGAACAGUCCGCCCUGUCCGGUAUGUACUGCCGGAUGGAGUGAGAAGUGAAAAGGUGGAGUAAGAGCCCACCGUCCGACCGGGUAACCGGAGGAGCAGGCAAACCCUGUCCGGUGCAAGACCAAGCAGGAAGAAUCCGCCAUGUACAUUGUGCGGAGAAGGCUGUUCGUCUUUAUUUCUUCCGGGUAGGUCGCGCAGAUAAAUGACUGCUGUCCCUGAGCAUUGCUUGAAGGGAACACAGAACCCGGCUUACAGAGUUUCUUUCCCA
This 393-nucleotide RNase P RNA is filed under the name Chitinivibrionales bacterium. Its description in RNAcentral is "RNase P RNA component class A". It matches the Rfam family "Bacterial RNase P class A". From Rfam's summary of the family: Ribonuclease P (RNase P) is a ubiquitous endoribonuclease, found in archaea, bacteria and eukarya as well as chloroplasts and mitochondria. The record is from RNAcentral. Lineage: Bacteria; Pseudomonadati; Fibrobacterota; Chitinivibrionia; Chitinivibrionales.